This 668-nucleotide ribosomal RNA is filed under the name Neoseiulus womersleyi. Its description in RNAcentral is "16S ribosomal RNA". The stretch from base 255 to 570 matches the Rfam family "Bacterial large subunit ribosomal RNA", at positions 2075 to 2645 of the family's 2925-position model. Lineage: Eukaryota; Metazoa; Arthropoda; Arachnida; Mesostigmata; Phytoseiidae. The record is from RNAcentral.
AUUAGUAUAAUAAUAUAAUUAAUUUUUAUGAAUUCAACAAAUUUUAGUUUCAGCUGUUUAACAAAAACAUUUUUAUUAGUUUAAUUAAUAAUAAUUUCUGCUCAGUGAAAAUUAAAUUGCUAAAGUAUAUUGACUUUACUAAGGUAUUGAAAUAAGACUUUAAUUGGGUGCUAAGAGAAUGGUUAAAUUGGAACAAAAUUAUAUAAUUUUAAUAAUAAAAUUUCAUUUAAAAAUGAAAAAGUUUUUAUAGUUUUAUGGGACGAGAAGACCCUGUGAAUUUUUUUUUUAUUUUUUAUAAUAUUUUUAUAAUAAGUAAAUUUGAUUGGGGCGAUAGAAAAAUAAUGAAUAACUUUAUUUUAAUGAUUUUUUUGAAGGUUGAUUGUAAAAUACUCUAGGGAUAACAGCGUUAUUAUUAUGGAUAGUUCAUAUUGAUAUAAUAGUUUGCGACCUCGAUGUUGAAUUAAUAUUUCAUUUUGGAGCAGAUUUUAAUUAAAUGAAAGAUUGCUCAUCUUUUAAAGUAUUACAUGAUUUGAGUUCAGACCGGCGUGAGCCAGGUCAGUUUCUAUCUAUAAAUUAGAAUUAAUUUUUAUUAGUACGAAAGGAUUAUAAAAAUAUAAUAUUUAUGUAAUUUUAUAGAAUUAGAUAUUACAUGUCUUAAAUUCCGUGAG